Molecule: ribosomal RNA, 119 nt
Filed under: Pteropus alecto (black flying fox)
Lineage: Eukaryota; Metazoa; Chordata; Mammalia; Chiroptera; Pteropodidae
Source: RNAcentral
AUCUCCGGCCAUGGCACCAUGAAUGUGCUCGAUCUCAUCUGAUCUCAGAAUCUAAGUAGGGUCGGGCCUGAUUAGUACUUGGAUGGGAGACCACCUAGGGAGACCAGGUGCUGUAGGCG